This 523-nucleotide ribosomal RNA is filed under the name uncultured Paraglomeraceae. RNAcentral describes it as "SSU rRNA". It matches the Rfam family "Eukaryotic small subunit ribosomal RNA", at positions 569 to 1092 of the family's 1831-position model. The record is from RNAcentral. Lineage: Eukaryota; Fungi; Glomeromycota; Glomeromycetes; Paraglomerales.
AGCAGCCGCGGUAAUUCCAGCUCCAAUAGCGUAUAUUAAAGUUGUUGCAGUUAAAAAGCUCGUAGUUGAACUUCAGGCCUGUCCAGAUGGUCCGCCUUAAUUGGUGUGUACUGUCCUUGGGUGGGUCCUACCUUCUGGCGAAGCGGCAUGGCCUUAGUUGGUUGUGUUGGGGAACCAGGACUUUUACUGUGAAAAAAUUAGAGUGUUCAAAGCAGGCAUUAUAUGCUCGAAUACAUUAGCAUGGAAUAAUGGAAUAGGACGAUGGUUCUAUUUUGUUGGUUCUAGGACCGUUGUAAUGAUUAAUAGGGAUAGUUGGGGGCAUUAGUAUUCAAUUGUCAGAGGUGAAAUUCUUGGAUUUAUUGAAGACUAACUACUGCGAAAGCAUUUGCCAAGGAUGUUUUCAUUAAUCAAGAACGAAAGUUAGGGGAUCGAAGACGAUCAGAUACCGUCGUAGUCUUAACCAUAAACUAUGCCGACUAGGAAUCGGGCGAUGUUGACAAAAUGACUCGCUCGGCACCUCAUG